GACGAACGCUGGCGGCGUGCCUAAUACAUGCAAGUAGAACGCUGAAGAGAGGAGCUUGCUCUUCUUGGAUGAGUUGCGCACGGGUGAGUAACGCGUAGGUAACCUGCCUUGUAGCGGGGGAUAACUAUUGGAAACGAUAGCUAAUACCGCAUAACAAUGGAUGACACAUGUCAUUUAUUUGAAAGGGGCAAUUGCUCCACUACAAGAUGGACCUGCGUUGUAUUAGCUAGUAGGUGAGGUAAUGGCUCACCUAGGCGACGAUACAUAGCCGACCUGAGAGGGUGAUCGGCCACACUGGGACUGAGACACGGCCCAGACUCCUACGGGAGGCAGCAGUAGGGAAUCUUCGGCAAUGGGGGCAACCCUGACCGAGCAACGCCGCGUGAGUGAAGAAGGGUUUCGGAUCGUAAAGCUCUGUUGUAAGUCAAGAACGGGUGUGAGAGUGGAAAGUUCACACUGUGACGGUAGCUUACCAGAAAGGGACGGCUAACUACGUG
This 497-nucleotide ribosomal RNA is filed under the name uncultured bacterium. Its description in RNAcentral is "partial 16S ribosomal RNA". It matches the Rfam family "Bacterial small subunit ribosomal RNA", at positions 28 to 507 of the family's 1533-position model. The record is from RNAcentral.